GAUCAUGGCUCAGGACGAACGCUGGCGGCGUGCUUAACACAUGCAAGUCGAACGGUGACGGAGAGCUUGCUCUCCUGAUCAGUGGCGAACGGGUGAGUAACACGUGGGCAACCUGCCCCAGACUUCGGGAUAACGCUUCGAAAGAGGUGCUAAUACCGAAUACGAACGCCGUGGGCAUCCACGGUGUUGGAAAGUUUUCGGUCUGGGAUGGGCCCGCGGCCUAUCAGCUUGUUGGUGAGGUAAUGGCUCACCAAGGCGACGACGGGUAGCCGGCCUGAGAGGGCGACCGGCCACACUGGGACUGAGACACGGCCCAGACUCCUACGGGAGGCAGCAGUGGGAAUAUUGCGCAAUGGGCGAAAGCCUGACGCAGCAACGCCGCGUGGGGGAUGAAGGCCUUCGGGUUGUAAACCUCUUUCAGCAGGGAAGAAGCGAAAGUGACGGUACCUGCAGAAGAAGCACCGGCUAACUACGUG
Molecule: ribosomal RNA, 476 nt
Filed under: uncultured bacterium
Lineage: Bacteria
Description: bacterial SSU rRNA
Rfam family: Bacterial small subunit ribosomal RNA
Source: RNAcentral